This 465-nucleotide ribosomal RNA is filed under the name uncultured bacterium. RNAcentral's name for it is "partial 16S ribosomal RNA". It matches the Rfam family "Bacterial small subunit ribosomal RNA", at positions 28 to 507 of the family's 1533-position model. The record is from RNAcentral.
GAUGAACGCUGGCGGCGUGCUUAACACAUGCCAGUCGAACGGAAAGGCUCCUGCGUGCGGGGGUACUCGAGUGGCGAACGGGUGAGUAACACGUGGGUGAUCUGCCCUUCACUUCGAGAUAAGCCUGGGAAACUGGGUCUAAUACCGGAUAGGACGAUGGUUUGGAUGCCGUUGUGGAAAGUUUUUCGGUGUGGGAUGAGCUCGCGGCCUAUCAGCUUGUUGGUGGGGUAAUGGCCUACCAAGGCGUCGACGGGUAGCCGGCCUGAGAGGGUGUACGGCACAAUUGGGACUGAGAUACGGCCCAGCCUCCUCCGGGAGGAAGCAGUGGGGAAUAUGGCACAAUGGGCGAAAGCCGGAUGAAGCGACGCCGCGUGGGGGAUAACGGCCUUCGGGUUGUAAACGCCUUUAGCUGGGGCCGAAGCGUAAGUGACGGUACCUGGAGAAGAAGCACCGGCUAACUACGUG